GGAUUUUUAAGUUAAGUAAGACUGUUGAUUUUCAAAAUCAAAAGUAGAGUAAUACUCUAAAGUCUG
Molecule: transfer RNA, 66 nt
Filed under: Hiatella arctica
Lineage: Eukaryota; Metazoa; Mollusca; Bivalvia; Adapedonta; Hiatellidae
Description: tRNA-Trp
Source: RNAcentral